Molecule: unclassified non-coding RNA, 900 nt
Filed under: Drosophila virilis
Lineage: Eukaryota; Metazoa; Arthropoda; Insecta; Diptera; Drosophilidae
Description: partial Dvir\u0008b
Rfam family: Eukaryotic small subunit ribosomal RNA (bases 763-900)
Source: RNAcentral
UAUACGCUGAAAGCGUAUAAUUUUAAAAGUUUGUCAUAUACUCGUUAUUUGAGUUAGAUAUCGUUAUUUGUUAUGUUGUAAAACAUUUGGCUUACGAUAUUAAGAAAAAAAGAUAAUUGUGAAACUUUCAAGCCAAGAUGUGUUGUUAGUAAUAAUUUUAUUGUUACUACAUCGUGUAAACAAAUGGGUUUCCUUUUAUCGUAAAAUUUAACAAUUGCAUCCAGUGGAAAUUCGAUUCAUACAGAUGUAUGGACGAUUAGUACGCUGGAAAAAAAGUUUCUAAAUUUUUGUAAUUAUUUUAAAUAUUUGUCAUAAAUGAAACUUUAACAUUUUACAUACUAUUUAAUAUAGUAUGUGACUUGUUUUACUUAAUAUAUUUUUAUCGCAUAAUUAUGUUUGCAAGUUAUGCAUGCAUAAUUUAUACAUAUAAAUAAAUUAUCAAGUUUGUCAUCAAAAUUAAAGUGUUUAUUCCAUUAUGGUAUUAAGCAAUGUGUGAUAAAAUAUAUAUUAAGUAAGUGUACAUAUAAAGAUAUUUUUGAACGAAUUGUAUAUAUUUUCAUAUAGAUAUAAUAUGUGGUGAAUCUUAAAAAAUGUGAAACGUAAAUUAACGAACAUGAAAUGCUAUGUAACAAUGGCCAUAUUCGUUUAUAUUUAACAUUAAUAUCUAUAGUAUAUUUUUUAUUCAAAAAUAUAUUAAGUUGUAAUGUAAAUACAUUUUGUAAAUAUGUAUGUUAUUUUGUACAUACAAAUUAUAAAAACAUUAUUCUGGUUGAUCCUGCCAGUAGUUAUAUGCUUGUCUCAAAGAUUAAGCCAUGCAUGUCUAAGUACACACGAAUUAACAGUGAAACCGCAAAAGGCUCAUUAUAUCAGUUAUGGUUCCUUAGAUCGUUAACAGUUACU